GUGUCAGCAGCCGCGGUAAUACGAAGGGGGCUAGCGUUGUUCGGAUUUACUGGGCGUAAAGCGCACGUAGGCGGACUUUUAAGUCAGGGGUGAAAUCCCGGGGCUCAACCCCGGAACUGCCUUUGAUACUGGAAGUCUUGAGUAUGGUAGAGGUGAGUGGAAUUCCGAGUGUAGAGGUGAAAUUCGUAGAUAUUCGGAGGAACACCAGUGGCGAAGGCGGCUCACUGGACCAUUACUGACGCUGAGGUGCGAAAGCGUGGGGAGCAAACAGGAUUAGAUACCCCAGUAGUCC
RNAcentral lists this ribosomal RNA (292 nucleotides) under uncultured Brucellaceae bacterium. Its description in RNAcentral is "partial 16S ribosomal RNA". It matches the Rfam family "Bacterial small subunit ribosomal RNA", at positions 505 to 796 of the family's 1533-position model. The record is from RNAcentral. Lineage: Bacteria; Pseudomonadati; Pseudomonadota; Alphaproteobacteria; Hyphomicrobiales; Brucellaceae.